UUAAGCGACUAAGCGUACACGGUGGAUGCCCUGGCAGUCAGAGGCGAUGAAGGACGUGCUAAUCUGCGAUAAGCGUCGGUAAGGUGAUAUGAACCGUUAUAACCGGCGAUUUCCGAAUGGGGAAACCCAGUGUGUUUCGACACACUAUCAUUAACUGAAUCCAUAGGUUAAUGAGGCGAACCGGGGGAACUGAAACAUCUAAGUACCCCGAGGAAAAGAAAUCAACCGAGAUUCCCCCAGUAGCGGCGAGCGAACGGGGAGCAGCCCAGAGCCUGAAUCAGUGUGUGUGUUAGUGGAAGCGUCUGGAAAGGCGCGCGAUACAGGGUGACAGCCCCGUACACAAAAAUGCACAUGCUGUGAGCUCGAUGAGUAGGGCGGGACACGUGGUAUCCUGUCUGAAUAUGGGGGGACCAUCCUCCAAGGCUAAAUACUCCUGACUGACCGAUAGUGAACCAGUACCGUGAGGGAAAGGCGAAAAGAACCCCGGCGAGGGGAGUGAAAAAGAACCUGAAACCGUGUACGUACAAGCAGUGGGAGCAUGCUUAAGCGUGUGACUGCGUACCUUUUGUAUAAUGGGUCAGCGACUUAUAUUCUGUAGCAAGGUUAACCGAAUAGGGGAGCCGAAGGGAAACCGAGUCUUAACUGGGCGUUAAGUUGCAGGGUAUAGACCCGAAACCCGGUGAUCUAGCCAUGGGCAGGUUGAAGGUUGGGUAACACUAACUGGAGGACCGAACCGACUAAUGUUGAAAAAUUAGCGGAUGACUUGUGGCUGGGGGUGAAAGGCCAAUCAAACCGGGAGAUAGCUGGUUCUCCCCGAAAGCUAUUUAGGUAGCGCCUCGUGAAUUCAUCUCCGGGGGUAGAGCACUGUUUCGGCAAGGGGGUCAUCCCGACUUACCAACCCGAUGCAAACUGCGAAUACCGGAGAAUGUUAUCACGGGAGACACACGGCGGGUGCUAACGUCCGUCGUGAAGAGGGAAACAACCCAGACCGCCAGCUAAGGUCCCAAAGUCAUGGUUAAGUGGGAAACGAUGUGGGAAGGCCCAGACAGCCAGGAUGUUGGCUUAGAAGCAGCCAUCAUUUAAAGAAAGCGUAAUAGCUCACUGGUCGAGUCGGCCUGCGCGGAAGAUGUAACGGGGCUAAACCAUGCACCGAAGCUGCGGCAGCGACGCUUAUGCGUUGUUGGGUAGGGGAGCGUUCUGUAAGCCUGUGAAGGUGUGCUGUGAGGCAUGCUGGAGGUAUCAGAAGUGCGAAUGCUGACAUAAGUAACGAUAAAGCGGGUGAAAAGCCCGCUCGCCGGAAGACCAAGGGUUCCUGUCCAACGUUAAUCGGGGCAGGGUGAGUCGACCCCUAAGGCGAGGCCGAAAGGCGUAGUCGAUGGGAAACAGGUUAAUAUUCCUGUACUUGGUGUUACUGCGAAGGGGGGACGGAGAAGGCUAUGUUGACCGGGCGACGGUUGUCCCGGUUUAAGCGUGUAGGCUGGUUUUCCAGGCAAAUCCGGAAAAUCAAGGCUGAGGCGUGAUGACGAGGCACUACGGUGCUGAAGCAACAAAUGCCCUGCUUCCAGGAAAAGCCUCUAAGCAUCAGGUAACAUCAAAUCGUACCCCAAACCGACACAGGUGGUCAGGUAGAGAAUACCAAGGCGCUUGAGAGAACUCGGGUGAAGGAACUAGGCAAAAUGGUGCCGUAACUUCGGGAGAAGGCACGCUGAUAUGUAGGUGAAGCGACUUGCUCGUGGAGCUGAAAUCAGUCGAAGAUACCAGCUGGCUGCAACUGUUUAUUAAAAACACAGCACUGUGCAAACACGAAAGUGGACGUAUACGGUGUGACGCCUGCCCGGUGCCGGAAGGUUAAUUGAUGGGGUCAGCGCAAGCGAAGCUCUUGAUCGAAGCCCCGGUAAACGGCGGCCGUAACUAUAACGGUCCUAAGGUAGCGAAAUUCCUUGUCGGGUAAGUUCCGACCUGCACGAAUGGCGUAAUGAUGGCCAGGCUGUCUCCACCCGAGACUCAGUGAAAUUGAACUCGCUGUGAAGAUGCAGUGUACCCGCGGCAAGACGGAAAGACCCCGUGAACCUUUACUAUAGCUUGACACUGAACAUUGAGCCUUGAUGUGUAGGAUAGGUGGGAGGCUUUGAAGUGUGGACGCCAGUCUGCAUGGAGCCGACCUUGAAAUACCACCCUUUAAUGUUUGAUGUUCUAACGUUGACCCCUAAUCGGGGUUGCGGACAGUGUCUGGUGGGUAGUUUGACUGGGGCGGUCUCCUCCUAAAGAGUAACGGAGGAGCACGAAGGUUGGCUAAUCCUGGUCGGACAUCAGGAGGUUAGUGCAAUGGCAUAAGCCAGCUUGACUGCGAGCGUGACGGCGCGAGCAGGUGCGAAAGCAGGUCAUAGUGAUCCGGUGGUUCUGAAUGGAAGGGCCAUCGCUCAACGGAUAAAAGGUACUCCGGGGAUAACAGGCUGAUACCGCCCAAGAGUUCAUAUCGACGGCGGUGUUUGGCACCUCGAUGUCGGCUCAUCACAUCCUGGGGCUGAAGUAGGUCCCAAGGGUAUGGCUGUUCGCCAUUUAAAGUGGUACGCGAGCUGGGUUUAGAACGUCGUGAGACAGUUCGGUCCCUAUCUGCCGUGGGCGCUGGAGAACUGAGGGGGGCUGCUCCUAGUACGAGAGGACCGGAGUGGACGCAUCACUGGUGUUCGGGUUGUCAUGCCAAUGGCACUGCCCGGUAGCUAAAUGCGGAAGAGAUAAGUGCUGAAAGCAUCUAAGCACGAAACUUGCCCCGAGAUGAGUUCUCCCUGACCCUUUAAGGGUCCUGAAGGAACGUUGAAGACGACGACGUUGAUAGGCCGGGUGUGUAAGCGCAGCGAUGCGUUGAGCUAACCGGUACUAAUGAACCGUGAGGCUUAACCUU
Molecule: ribosomal RNA, 2902 nt
Filed under: Escherichia coli
Lineage: Bacteria; Pseudomonadati; Pseudomonadota; Gammaproteobacteria; Enterobacterales; Enterobacteriaceae
Description: bacterial LSU rRNA
Rfam family: Bacterial large subunit ribosomal RNA
Source: RNAcentral